Saimiri boliviensis boliviensis (Bolivian squirrel monkey) is the source of this 109-nucleotide small nuclear RNA. The record is from Ensembl. NCBI's taxonomy places the organism in Eukaryota, Metazoa, Chordata, Mammalia, Primates, Cebidae.
GUGCUCGCUUUGGCAGCACAUAUACUAAAAUUGGAAUGAUACAGACAUUACAUUAGCAUGACUCCUGUGCAAGAAUGACAUGAAAAUUAAUGAAGUGUUCCAUAUUAAA